UACGGAGGAUCCAAGCGUUAUCCGGAUUCAUUGGGUUUAAAGGGUGCGUAGGCGGAAUGAUAAGUCAGUGGUGAAUCCUGCAGCUUAACUGCAGAACUGCCAUUGAUACUGUCAAUCUUGAGUACAUUUGGAUGUGGGCGGAAUGGUGUCAUGUAGCGGUGAAUGCUUAGAUAUGACACAGAACACCGAUUGCGAAGGCAGCUUACUAUGGUGUCAUUGACGCUGAGGCACGAAAGCGUGGGGAGUCAAACAGG
This 254-nucleotide ribosomal RNA is filed under the name uncultured bacterium. RNAcentral describes it as "partial 16S ribosomal RNA". It matches the Rfam family "Bacterial small subunit ribosomal RNA", at positions 524 to 776 of the family's 1533-position model. The record is from RNAcentral.